RNAcentral lists this ribosomal RNA (256 nucleotides) under uncultured bacterium. RNAcentral describes it as "partial 16S ribosomal RNA". It matches the Rfam family "Bacterial small subunit ribosomal RNA", at positions 524 to 776 of the family's 1533-position model. The record is from RNAcentral.
UACGUAGGGGGGCAAGCGUUGUCCGGAAUCAUUGGGCGUAAAGAGCGUGUAGGCGGCUCGAUAAGUCUGCUGUGAAAGUCCAGGGCUCAACCCUGGAAGGCCGGUGGAAACUGUCGGGCUAGAGUCCGGAAGAGGCGAGUGGAAUUCCCGGUGUAGCGGUGAAAUGCGCAGAUAGUCGGGAGGAACACCGGUGGGCGAAGGCGGAUCUCUGGGCCAUUACUGACGCUGAGGAGCGAAAGCGUGGGGAGCGAACAGG